Long non-coding RNA from Haliotis rufescens (red abalone), 4159 nucleotides. RefSeq lists it as uncharacterized. The record is from RefSeq and is a predicted model, not a curated record. Lineage: Eukaryota; Metazoa; Mollusca; Gastropoda; Lepetellida; Haliotidae. The transcript has 3 exons.
UUGAAAGUAGGACUUACACCCCACGUGACGUUUCACGCAAGUGCCCGAACCGUCUGAGCAAGUGCCCUGCAAAACAAAACUUGUAUUGUUUACACUCCGUGAAAGCAAUGAACACAGACAGCAUGCAGACAUGCAUCAUGUCACUGAUAAUUUCCAUGAAAAAUCUAUCAGGUUGUGUGGAGGAGCCAGACAGAAUUACACAGAUCCAAGUGGAGCCAGGUUAGGUAGAGCUCUCAGGUUAAACAUCCUUCUGACUUCGAGCCAUAUGGAACUCCCAGGUCUUAUGACUUGGAGCCAGAGUAGGUGGAGCCGUCACCCUCAUGCUAAACAUCCUUAUAACUUGGAGCCAUGUAGAGCUCUUGGUUUAUACAUCCUUCUGACUCUUGGAGCCAGGUUACAUUGAGUUCCUCUCUGCAGAUGCUUUUGAUUUGGGUCUGAUAAGCUGCCACGUUAAGUGCUCUGUCCACAUGGAGCUUCUUGGAGACAGGUUGGGAUUGCUUGAGAUGGCGUUUUAACCCGUGGAAAUAGUAGGAGUAAAGUCAACAACAUAGUCAGCAAUACAGUUGUUAUCACAUGGCAAUAGUAGGAGUAGAGUUAACAAUAUAGGAGGUGUUAUCACAUGGCAAUAGUGGGAGUAGAGUUAACAAUAUAGGAGGUGUUAUCACAUGGCAAUAGUGGGAGUAGAGUUAACAAUAUAGGAGGUUUUAUCACAUGGCGAUGGUAUGUUCAGCUAAAGGCAAUGGUAUUUCUCAAUACUGUUUUCACAAAGUCACACCAGGUACAUUGUUUCUAGUGUCCUUGACCUCUGUACGAAGGAAUCUGACACCUCAGGAAGAUGCACUUGACUCCAGCCACCGGCCACGGAGUUGGUGGUCACACUGCAGAUAUAUGUAUGUCCUAGUGGUUAGAGAUACUUCCAGAUCAGAUCCAUCCCCUUUACAUAGUUUUGAGUUGGUUUUGUUCCCAUGGCUUAAUUGUAUACAUGUUGUAUUAUGAUAUAUGGCCCAACCAUUAAGUAUUCGGAUGGUCAGGGUGGUUGGUGGGACAGCCUGGGAGGUUUCUUUGAAAUUAUUUUUUCGGUCACCGCUUUGAAACAUACCAUUCCCUCAAUAUUUCAUUGAGAACAUCAACCAUGUCAAGUGUACAAGUUUCCUCUUUAAGUUAAACAUAAACACAAUUUUUUCCAUUUAUUUUCUGGGACAAAUCAUUUUUUUCAAAAAACAUUCCAGGGUUCCCCCCAGAAUACUAAAUGAUCGGUCCCUUAUUUGAAUGAUGCUGUGCCAAAAGGUGUAAAUAGCCAGAUAACAAGCAUGAGUUGUAAUGUACUUUUAUCAUGACGGGUUCUGAAAGUGCAUAAUGAAUACAUGUGUUAAUCAAUGUGUGAAUGAGGAUAACCAAAUAAACUAUGUCUCACAAGAAUAACUUCUGUUGUGUGUCCAGUUCAAGGUUUUUGCAGAGAAUGAGCUUACCUGAAUUAGCAUUGUCAUUCACUCCUUCAGACCCUAUAUUUGUUUAUUCUGAGCUUACAAAUAUUUGGACCUUAUAGAUGAAAUGCACAAAACUUGUUUGAGCCAACAGGGGUAGACUCCAUUGGCCAUAUCCAACUAGUCCGCAGGUCAUUUCGGGCAAGGGGUUAUGUAAAAAAAAUAGAUUUUGGGAUAGUGAGUGAGUGAGUAGUUUUACAUCACUUUUAGCAAUAUUCCAGCAAUAUCACGCCGGGGACCCCACUCAUGGGCUUCACACAUUGUACCCAUGUUGGGAAUCGAACCCGGGUCUUUGGCGUGUCGAGCAAACGCCUUAACCUCUAGGCUUCCCCGACUGCCCCAGAUUUUGGGACAAAAAGCUACUAGUCUCAAACUGGUGUCUGUGUCUAUCCCUGGCCAAGUUGAAUAGGAAAACCCUCCAUAACCUAGAGUUCACUCCUAAUUUUUAUAACCUUGUAAAGGGUAGCACAGAACGACUUGAGGCCUGACACUACUCAUGCACAAAUCCAUGGUGAAUUUACAGGUAUGACAACACAUGUCUACAAAGUGGGACUGAGACAUAAUUUAUGUGGUGUGCGUGAGAGCGCCCCAACUGUCACCUCAAAUAACUAAGUUAAAUAUCACCGACAGCCCAGCCGCUGAUAAGCAGAACAGACCAGCUGAUAAAAUGCUUACAUUGUUAAUACUUGUAGCAAUGUUGUCAGUGGAAAGUUUUGUAUCAGGUUACUCAUACACAUAUAUAUUUCUUUUGUUAACAGCGUUGCAAAGGUUGUUAAGUGUCUUGUUUGGGCUUUAGUACUGUGACAAUGAGAUCUGAAUGUGUUGUUUAUAACUCUCCUAUCUGUACCAUGGCCCCAGACAACAAGUGCGCAGGCAUGUCGGUGUUCACAGCGGUUGGUGACGGUUGGUUACUGCAAUAUUUGCUGUAUCGAUUUUAGGAUCGGAUUGAUCAUUUGUAUUUCACUACAGAACCAACAAAGCUGACUUAUACCAAAUACUGAUGUGAAAAGUGAUAUAAUUCGUUGCGGCUGUAGGAUUGCCAAAUGGCUGUUUGCUGAUGUUUUAGUGCUAUUCAUACAGGUGUAUUUCACUCUAUAAUCUUCACCUUGAGGAGGACAGGACUCUUGAGGUUUGACUUGACUCGCGAACACGGACAAUACAACCAUUUCACACUCUUAUACAUGUUUAUACAUGUUCCAACUCAUUCACUUUUAGAUUGUCCCCUGAACAUGUAUAUAAAGCAGUAUGACCCAGUCUCGUUAUCUGAUGGCAUUCUUAUUCUGAACAAGGUUUACCUAGAUACCACAGUGGUUGUGACAGAGUUAACUCCCCUGAAUGAAAGGGUCAGGGUCAGGGUCAGGGUCAGCUCUGCUUGGGAUUAGAAUGACUGCCCCAAUUCUUUUAGUAUCAUGAUUAUGUGAAAGCCUUUAAGCUGAAAAUCAGAGACAUUCUCUUACAGACAUGUUUUUGCAAAAAAAUACAUCAACAGAAACAAUGGUAAACAACAUGAAAGUCAUAAGUUAUGAUAGUUGCUGUAGGUAAAAAUGGUCUGAAAGAUCGAAUAAAUGGACAUGAUUUUUGUUUGUGUCACACUUUUUAGUAAUGUCAUUAUUUUGCAUAAAUAAAAAUAUACAUUUUAUUGUUUUAUGAUUCUUAGAAACUUUCUUUGAAUCAAUGUUUUAUAUAACAACCUUAGUUUUGAAAAUGUAGCAUCACAAUAUGACAUUGCUGGCUGCUUGCAGAAAGACACUUAAAAUCUACACUCACUCACUCACUCAUUUGUUUAAUACUACUUUGGUGCCCAUUUGUUUGUUACCUUAAUUAAAUUUCCAAAGAUUUUAUCUAAAGUGUUGCAAAUCUUCCAGUAGAGACCAAACUGACUGGAACUUGGAACUUAAUAAAACUGAACGAAAAUGUAAUAGUGGUGAAUAUUUUUGUUUUGUUCACAAGAGACCAGCUACAAAUUCUGAGGAUUAGUGAAAAAAAGUUUAUGCAAGACCUUGUGAUGAGAAAAAAAUGAAUUUCUAAGGCUGAUUGUGAUGACACCGAAGUCACUAGCUUAGCCCCAUGGUUGCUAGUUGUGAUGACACCGCAGUGACCAAUGGCCACUAGCUCUGGUCACCAGCUUAGCCCCAUGGUUGCUAGUUGUGAUGACACCGCAGUGACCAAUGGCCACUAGCUCUGGUCACCAGCUUAGCCCCAUGGUUGCUAGUUGUGAUGACACCGCAGUGACCAAUGGCCACUAGCUCUGGUCACCAGCUUAGCCCCAGGUUCUGUGAUCACUUCUCUCACACCAGGUUCUAUUCCCAACAUGUAAAGUGAAUACAAUGCAUGUCCUAUGUCAUUGUAGCUGAAAGCUGCAGCCGUGCACACCCACCCACAUGCCACUAUAUCAGCUCAGUAAUGUCCAACACAAACGACCUUGCCCAUCUCCCAACAUGCUCAAGUUCUGAGAUUUCUGAGUUUUGUUUCCUGAGAAGGUUGAUUCGCUUCUUACACUCAGUGCUUGGAGCAAAGAAUAAGGCCAGUGUCCUUUUGAAAAGUAAAGUGCUGAAGCACGUAUUCGACAUAAUAAGCGCCCAGGGCGCUCUCAAAAUUUGAAAUAGGGGGCUCUUAUUAGAAUAACAUUUUGGAAAAAAAAAUAGAGUUGAAAGAUUGUAAAUUUCGUGGUUUAU